AGUAUUUUAUUAUUAUUUUAAAGUUAUAGCAUGUUUAUAUUAGUGCAUGAAAAAUUUAGUGAAAAAUUUUAGCAUUUGUAAGCUUAAUUGAAAAAAAGGACUAAAUCGCAUAAAGUGCAAAAGUUUUAAUUUGAUAGUUAGGGUGUUAAAUUUCCAUGUAUCUUUAAUUGAGGGUCUUUAAAGGGAAAAUAGAACCUUAGAGAGAGGCUUGGCC
This 214-nucleotide long non-coding RNA is filed under the name Gossypium barbadense (sea-island cotton). RNAcentral's name for it is "long non-coding RNA (GBAR_LNC007404)". Lineage: Eukaryota; Viridiplantae; Streptophyta; Magnoliopsida; Malvales; Malvaceae. The record is from RNAcentral.